Long non-coding RNA from Mauremys reevesii (Reeves's turtle), 639 nucleotides. RefSeq lists it as uncharacterized. Lineage: Eukaryota; Metazoa; Chordata; Testudines; Geoemydidae. The transcript has 4 exons. The record is from RefSeq and is a predicted model, not a curated record.
GCGUAACAGAAAUCCAUCCGCACGCACAGCACCAUCUAGAGUCAGGGGCGCAGCACCGCCGGGGACCUGAUCUGUCGGGAGGAAUCCGCAUUGCUAGUUAUUCAGUGAUGGGGCUAAAAUUCGCCGAACAAACCCGGCAGGGGCUGAGCGGCCUGCGUUGGUGCAUGGCUCCCUGGUGGCAUGCCAGUCGCAGCUGGACUCCCUGUGCAGAGCUCAGCAGGAGUGCGGGCAGCCCAGAUCCAGUCCAAGGAGGCGGAAGUCAUCUCCGUCAGGGCAGGGUGGGUGCACCAUGCUACCAAUCAGGCAUCUCCAGUCACCCCCCUGCCCCCCGGGGAGCAUUUUGCACCUAGUUGGCCCAGGUGUGAAUGACAAGGCAGCGGGGAAGCAGGCGCACAGAGAGGGGAGUGAACGGGCCUGUGGCAGCAGAUGGUCUAUGGAGGAGCGAGGAGGCUACGGUGGCAAGGCUCCACACGCACAUGUCCCUGGUGGGGAAACUGAGGCACAGAGCAGUGACAUGACUUGCCGAAGGUCACCCAAUGGGCUAGUGGCAGAGCCAGAAAUAGAAGCCAGGUCUUCUGAAUGGCAGGCCACACCCCCUCCUGCAACAAAGCCAGCGGAUUAAACGCUCACUCCUCAGCG